RNAcentral lists this ribosomal RNA (429 nucleotides) under uncultured bacterium. Its description in RNAcentral is "bacterial SSU rRNA". It matches the Rfam family "Bacterial small subunit ribosomal RNA", at positions 355 to 776 of the family's 1533-position model. The record is from RNAcentral.
UGGGGAAUAUUGGACAAUGGGGGGAACCCUGAUCCAGCGAUGCCGCGUGUGUGAAGAAGGCCUGAGGGUUGUAAAGCACUUUAGUUGGGGAGGAAAGGCUCUCUUCGAAUAGGGGGGAGAAAAGACGUUACCCAAAGAAUAAGCACCGGCUAACUCUGUGCCAGCAGCCGCGGUAAUACAGAGGGUGCAAGCGUUAAUCGGAAUGACUGGGCGUAAAGGGCACGUAGGCGGAUAGAUAUGUCAAAGGUGAAAUCCCCGGGCUCAACCUGGGAACUGCCUGUGAAACUGUGUAUCUAGAAUAGAGUAGAGGUAAGUGGAAUUUCCGGUGUAGCGGUGAAAUGCGUAGAUAUCGGAAAGAACACCAGUGGCGAAGGCGACUUACUGGGCUCAUAUUGACGCUGAGGUGCGAAAGCGUGGGGAGCAAACGGG